This 1335-nucleotide long non-coding RNA is filed under the name Marmota monax (woodchuck). Lineage: Eukaryota; Metazoa; Chordata; Mammalia; Rodentia; Sciuridae. The record is from RNAcentral.
CAUUUUUAAUCUUUUGUUGGACUUCUUCCCCUCACCUCUCUUUUCUUCAUUAUAACUUUAAUAAGUAUACUUUCCUCUCAAAGAAUCAGUACAUUUUUUAAAGGGGUAGUUUCAAUGUUUACUUUACUUUUAGGAUCCAUUUAUAGAGUUUUAAAAAUUAGUUCUUUAUUAUUAUUUUUUCAGUACCAGGGAUUGAACUCGGGGGCACUCAAACACUGAACCACUUCCUCAGCCCUAUUUUGUAUUCUUUUAUUUAGAGACAGAAUCGCACUAAGUUACAUACCACCUAGCUUUUGCUGAGGCUGGCUUUGAACUCACGAUCCUCGUGCCUCAGCCUCCCAAGCCACUGGGAUUACAGGCAUGUACCACCAUGCCCCACUAAUUUCUUCUUCUUUUUAAAUUUUAGAUUUGACCUUUAUUUUCAAAUGUAUUUACCCUAAUGGAAAUGCUGUCUCAUUCUCUGUUAUGUAGUUAUGGAUAUAAUAUACUUUAUAAAGGCUUGCACACAGGGUUGAGACCAAUGCUUCUCAAGCAGGACAUUUGCUAUUAUUCUUUUAACUGCUAUGACUUACUGCAGACUUGUGAGGAGUGCUACUUGCAUGAAGUGGGUAUAGGACAUUGAGCAUCCUAUUCUGGUAUUGAUAACAUUCUAUCAGGCCUUGACUGUACCACACAAUAGAGGAUUAUCCAAUUCAAAUAUCAGUAAUAACAAAGUCAAGUGGCUCUUGUACAGACCCACAGCAUUCAGUUUUAUUGAUAUUUGGUAUUCAGAUAAUAUUUGAUCAAUAUUAUAAGCCAUACUAAUGCCUGUUGUUUUCCUUAGUAAUUGAAUUCUAUUAGAUAAGAUAUGCGUUUUAGGGAUUUCAGUAGUUUUUUCAAUUUGUUCAGUACUUUACAACUCCCCCUAGAAGAUUCAAUUUCAUAUUAUCCAUUAAACCAUGCAGAAAUUUGAGUUUGCAUCCCUGAAUUGUAUGGCAAAUGGCUCUUGGUCUCCUCUCUUUUUACAAUUUUCAUUUCCCUGUAGAAGACAGUGCAUUUCCUUUGACAGUAGUGGAUCACUGAAUUAUUGUCACUAUGUUUCUCUAAGAUAUGCUAUUCACAGAAAGAUUUGGUCAUGCUAUCAUCAGAGGCAAUGGUUUUUGUGCUCCUAUGCUCCACAAACACUUGAGUUCACAUUAGUAUGAAAGGGGUUUAUUCCAAGUUGGCUUUGAGAAAGGUAAAAAUGAGUUUUCUGUCUCAAAUGUCCAUCGUGAGGGGACUCAGGAGCAUGGAACAAUUUUAUAAUAAGAGGAGAGGAGCAAAGUGGGACAAAAGGCAGAAUAUACACAUAUGCAG